AACGCACAUUGCACCCCCUGGUAUUCCGGGGGGUAUGCCUGUCCGAGCGUCAUUGCUGCCCUCAAGCCCGGCUUGUGUGUUGGGCCGUCGUCCCCUGGCUCCCCGGGGGACGGGCCCGAAAGGCAGCGGCGGCACCGCGUCCGGUCCUCGAGCGUAUGGGGCUUUGUCACCCGCUCUGCAGGAGCCGGCCGGCGCUGGCCGACGUUUUCCAACCAUUUUUCUCCAGGUUGACCUCGGAUCAGGUAGGGAUACCCGCUGAACUUAA
This 265-nucleotide unclassified non-coding RNA is filed under the name uncultured Eurotiales. Its description in RNAcentral is "sequence contains 5.8S rRNA gene, ITS2, 28S rRNA gene". The record is from RNAcentral. Lineage: Eukaryota; Fungi; Ascomycota; Eurotiomycetes; Eurotiales.